RNAcentral lists this ribosomal RNA (253 nucleotides) under uncultured bacterium. Its description in RNAcentral is "partial 16S ribosomal RNA". It matches the Rfam family "Bacterial small subunit ribosomal RNA", at positions 524 to 776 of the family's 1533-position model. The record is from RNAcentral.
GACGGAGGGUGCGAGCGUUUAUCGGAAUUACUGGGCGUAAAGCGCAUGUAGGCGGCCGAACAAGUCAGGUGUGAAAUCCUCGGGCUUAACCUGGGAAGUGCACUUGAUACUGUCCGGCUAGAGUUUGGCAGAGGAAAGUAGAAUUCCCGGUGUAGCGGUGAAAUGCGUAGAUAUCGGGAGGAAUACCAGUGGCGAAGGCGGCUUUCAGGGCCAAUACUGACGCUGAGGUGCGAAAGCGUGGGGGGCAAACAGG